UCAGGAACCGACGUGCUUACAUGG
RNAcentral lists this non-coding RNA (24 nucleotides) under Arabidopsis thaliana (thale cress). Lineage: Eukaryota; Viridiplantae; Streptophyta; Magnoliopsida; Brassicales; Brassicaceae. The record is from RNAcentral.